ACCCGUAAGGCGCAAGGAAG
This 20-nucleotide small nuclear RNA is filed under the name Arabidopsis thaliana (thale cress). RNAcentral describes it as "snRNA_13263". Lineage: Eukaryota; Viridiplantae; Streptophyta; Magnoliopsida; Brassicales; Brassicaceae. The record is from RNAcentral.